CCUACGGGAGGCAGCAGUGGGGAAUAUUGGGCAAUGGGCGCAAGCCUGACCCAGCAACGCCGCGUGAAGGAAGAAGGCUCUCGGGUUGUAAACUUCUUUUAUCAGGGACGAAGCAAGUGACGGUACCUGAUGAAUAAGCCACGGCUAACUACGUGCCAGCAGCCGCGGUAAUACGUAGGUGGCAAGCGUUAUCCGGAUUUACUGGGUGUAAAGGGCGUGUAGGCGGGAAAGCAAGUCAGAUGUGAAAACCAUGGGCUCAACCUGUGGCCUGCAUUUGAAACUGUUUUUCUUGAGUACUGGAGAGGAAGAGGGAAUUCCUAGGGUGGCGGGGAAAGGCGUAGAUAUUAGGAGGAAAACCAGGGGCGAAGGCGGUCUGCUGGACAGCAACUGACGCUGAGGCGCGAAAGCGUGGGGAGCAAACAGGAUUAGAUACCCGGGUAGUC
RNAcentral lists this ribosomal RNA (443 nucleotides) under uncultured bacterium. Its description in RNAcentral is "partial 16S ribosomal RNA". It matches the Rfam family "Bacterial small subunit ribosomal RNA", at positions 338 to 795 of the family's 1533-position model. The record is from RNAcentral.